RNAcentral lists this transfer RNA (68 nucleotides) under Phraortes lianzhouensis. RNAcentral describes it as "tRNA-Leu". Lineage: Eukaryota; Metazoa; Arthropoda; Insecta; Phasmatodea; Lonchodidae. The record is from RNAcentral.
AUUAAUUUGGCAGAUUAUAAGUGCAAUAAAUUUAGGAUUUAUAUAUGUUGAUUAUUCAUCAGUUAAUA